Long non-coding RNA from Oxyura jamaicensis (ruddy duck), 746 nucleotides. RefSeq lists it as uncharacterized. The record is from RefSeq and is a predicted model, not a curated record. The transcript has 2 exons. Lineage: Eukaryota; Metazoa; Chordata; Aves; Anseriformes; Anatidae.
UCAGCCUCAGGAAUUUCAAAGGAACAUCCACCCAGUGGCUCUUGGGUUUGGCUGAACUAACGCUGAAGGACAAGCCAGUGGAUCAUGGUGCUUGCAGUAAAGCUGCAUGCAAAAUAUUGCUAGUUGUUCACUUGCGAUUAAUUUGGAGCGCCUGUAUGAGCAUUCCAUAGUACAGUAUGGAAACACUGCACAAAAAGGAUCACCAGAGAGGCUGAAUUGUAACUGCGAUGAGAGGAACAGCAGAUUAGACUUAAGGAAGGAAUGGAAGGGGGAAGGAUGUAAGUUCUUGCCACCCUGUUGAAAUGGAAUAGCAGAAAAACUGGUGAGUGUGUACAGUAAGAGAGGGAAGCUCAUCAAAAUGUAUCAAUGAAUCCAAGCUUUCCUUAUUCAAAAGUCAAAUAAUUUAAUAAGGAGGUAUUUGCAGAAGUUGUUUACACAUGGGUUGAUCUACAUUAGACAGAAAAUAAUUUUGGCCUAAUUCUGAAACAUGUUCCUAUUGAAUAAGUUUUUUAUCCACUGGAAUAACUCAGCUGGUUGAUAUGAGACUCUUCAGAUAUAAGCAGUGCUUAUGAGAUUGUUACACUUAAUUAGUUUAUAAAUCUGUCUCCAGUAGCUGCAUAUGAAAAUUUAAUAUGCCAGCUUCAGAACAACAUGGUGUUUUUUACUUGGCUUUGAGACAGAAGGGAUUAUUCUACUAGAAUAAACCAAAGAUGGAAGUAAUAAAGAUUAAAAACCUUUAAAAAUAA